This 373-nucleotide ribosomal RNA is filed under the name uncultured bacterium. Its description in RNAcentral is "bacterial SSU rRNA". It matches the Rfam family "Bacterial small subunit ribosomal RNA", at positions 527 to 898 of the family's 1533-position model. The record is from RNAcentral.
GUAGGGGGCAAGCGUUGUCCGGAUUUAUUGGGCGUAAAGCGCGUGUAGGCGGCCAGACAGGUCCGUUGUGAAAACUGGAGGCUCAACCUCCAGCUGUCGAUGGAAACCGUUUGGCUAGAGUCCGGAAGAGGAGAGUGGAAUUCCUGGUGUAGCGGUGAAAUGCGCAGAUAUCAGGAAGAACACCGAUGGCGAAGGCAGCUCUCUGGGACGGUACUGACGCUGAGACGCGAAAGCGUGGGGAGCGAACAGGAUUAGAUACCCUGGUAGUCCACGCCGUAAACGAUGGGUGCUAGGUGUGGGAGGUGUCGACUCCUCCCGUGCCGCAGCUAACGCAUUAAGCACCCCGCCUGGGGAGUACGGCCGCAAGGCUAAA